RNAcentral lists this ribosomal RNA (521 nucleotides) under Lygosoma sp. RNAcentral describes it as "partial large subunit ribosomal RNA". It matches the Rfam family "Bacterial large subunit ribosomal RNA", at positions 1817 to 2597 of the family's 2925-position model. The record is from RNAcentral. Lineage: Eukaryota; Metazoa; Chordata; Lepidosauria; Squamata; Scincidae.
AGCCUUUAGCUAAACAAGUAUUAAAGGUCCCGCCUGCCCAGUGAAAAUCUUUUUAACGGCCGCGGUAUUCUAACCGUGCAAAGGUAGCGUAAUCACUUGUCUUCUAAAUAAAGACUAGUAUGAACGGCUAAAUGAGGACAAACCUGUCUCAUGUGGCCAAUCAGUGAAACUGAUCUUCCAGUACAAAAGCUGGAAUAAUAACAUAAGACGAGAAGACCCUGUGGAGCUUUAAACCAACUACUAAUGACCCAAACAUAGUACAAGGUUUUGAGUUGGGGCGACUUUGGAACAAAAUACAACUUCCAAGCACGGAGACACCCUCCCCCACUAAGGCCAACAAGCCAAGGCAUAAAAUCGACCCAGUAAUACUGAUCAACGAACCAAGUUACCCCAGGGAUAACAGCGCCAUCUUCUUCAAGAGUCCAUAUCGACAAGAAGGUUUACGACCUCGAUGUUGGAUCAGGACACCCAAGUGGUGCAGCCGCUACUAACGGUUCGUUUGUUCAACGAUUAACAGUCCU